GUUUGGUCCAAGUUCUCCUCAUUUUGAAUUAUUGUUCCUCCUCAUCCGAGCCCUUUUUAUCUGACUCAAAAUCUUUUUAUGUAAUAAUUGUUGUACCCAAGUUCAGGCUGUCAAGCUUUGAGCAGACUUCUCUUGAAAAUAUAGUUAGAUGGACAUUAGAGCUCUCUGUUCAAUAUAGUUACCUUUCUCUAGCCCUCGCAUUGUUUCGUUCUUGUUUUCUCUGUGGAUUGAAGCUCUCCAAUGGUGAGAUUAUAUUAAUUCCCAUGAGUUUGAAUAUUAUAUCAUAUCAUUGCUGGAUUUGUUUCGUUUUAGCUUGUUGUUUAUUGAAAUUUUAUUAAAAG
This 341-nucleotide unclassified non-coding RNA is filed under the name Hevea brasiliensis (rubber tree). The record is from RNAcentral. Lineage: Eukaryota; Viridiplantae; Streptophyta; Magnoliopsida; Malpighiales; Euphorbiaceae.